Molecule: ribosomal RNA, 915 nt
Filed under: uncultured bacterium
Lineage: Bacteria
Description: bacterial SSU rRNA
Rfam family: Bacterial small subunit ribosomal RNA
Source: RNAcentral
AAGGGUUUGAUCCUGGCUCAGAUUGAACGCUGGCGGCAGGCCUAACACAUGCAAGUCGAGCGGAUGAAGGGAGCUUGCUCCUGGAUUCAGCGGCGGACGGGUGAGUAAUGCCUAGGAAUCUGCCUGGUAGUGGGGGAUAACGUCCGGAAACGGGCGCUAAUACCGCAUACGUCCUGAGGGAGAAAGUGGGGGAUCUUCGGACCUCACGCUAUCAGAUGAGCCUAGGUCGGAUUAGCUAGUUGGUGGGGUAAAGGCCUACCAAGGCGACGAUCCGUAACUGGUCUGAGAGGAUGAUCAGUCACACUGGAACUGAGACACGGUCCAGACUCCUACGGGAGGCAGCAGUGGGGAAUAUUGGACAAUGGGCGAAAGCCUGAUCCAGCCAUGCCGCGUGUGUGAAGAAGGUCUUCGGAUUGUAAAGCACUUUAAGUUGGGAGGAAGGGCAGUAAGUUAAUACCUUGCUGUUUUGACGUUACCAACAGAAUAAGCACCGGCUAACUUCGUGCCAGCAGCCGCGGUAAUACGAAGGGUGCAAGCGUUAAUCGGAAUUACUGGGCGUAAAGCGCGCGUAGGUGGUUCAGCAAGUUGGAUGUGAAAUCCCCGGGCUCAACCUGGGAACUGCAUCCAAAACUACUGAGCUAGAGUACGGUAGAGGGUGGUGGAAUUUCCUGUGUAGCGGUGAAAUGCGUAGAUAUAGGAAGGAACACCAGUGGCGAAGGCGACCGCCUGGACUGAUACUGACACUGAGGUGCGAAAGCGUGGGGAGCAAACAGGAUUAGAUACCCUGGUAGUCCACGCCGUAAACGAUGUCGACUAGCCGUUGGGAUCCUUGAGAUCUUAGUGGCGCAGCUAACGCGAUAAGUCGACCGCCUGGGGAGUACGGCCGCAAGGUUAAAACUUAAAGGAAUUGACGGC